UCCAAAUGUCACAUCCCCUUGCCCAUUCAGGGGAAUGCUGGGUUACUGGUGCAUAAAAUGACUUGACAUCUGCACUGUGUAUCUUUUACACACCUAUUUUUAAAUACCGCAAACUUAAUGACCACGAUAGAAUAUAUAAAACCCUUUAUGAAACCCUUUGACACUUUUCCUCCCUACAUACCGUUGGGCAUAUACACGAUCCCACUGAUCUUCCAGGCAACCCGCUGUCCUAGGUGCUCUUGUGCCCAUUGCACAGAUAAGAAAUCUGAAGCUCAGACUGGUAAGAAGCCUUGCCCAAAGUCACAUAUCCUUUAAGAAGCAGAGCCAACAAUUCCAACUCUGAUGUGUUUGAACUUCGCAACAAUCGUUCCUAACCAAAGUGGGUAAUUUAGCCAAAAUAAAACCAUUUUGUAAACAUCAUAAGUAAAGCCGACAGCAGCCAAGUCACAGCCCCUGAAACAUGCAGCAGAUGAAGACGGCGGCCCUCGUUGGACAAAAACCACGUCUGCUUCCCAUUGAAAGAAAUGACAAACAGAAUAGCUGUGCACCACUCACAGCAGCAGAGCCGAGAACUUAAGACGCUCCAAGCAUUUUAACACCUUCUCAACUCAACGCACCAAUGGAAGGGUCACCAUGUACAAAGAAAAACAUGUCCUUCCAUUUAAUAUUUUCCCUUUCAGCAGGACCCCAUCACCCUUUUUUAAGUAACAGCUUUAUUAAGAUAUAAUCUACACCAUGCUAGGCAUUUUUGUGACUACUAUCUCAUUUAAUCCAUAUCAUCAUUCCAUUGCACUAAUUUGAAAACCAAAGCUCAGAGAAGUAAACGUUCUCAAAGCCACACAGUUGCUCCCUGGUAGAAGCAGGAUGUGAACCUGGAUCUGCCCAAGUCCAACCCCAAAGAUGCUUCCACUACUCCAUGUUUCUCGUGCAGUGGAUGGCAGCUGCCCUUUAUCGUGUUAUUAUGCUAUGUUUCAGAGACAGCAGCCGCCUGUGCUUUUGUUUGGCUUACAUAAACUCAAAUGCAUGCGAUGUAUCACUGCGUCCACGCGCAUCCCUGGGUUGAAAAUAUGCCCACAUCUAUGGAACUCCUAAGAACAAGUAUUACACAAAUAAACUUUUCCCCUAAAUUUCCCUCUGAUUCUUGGAGCUACUGAGAUAACACUCUAAUAUUUCUGUAAUUUUUUAAGCCCACAAAGGAAAGUUAGUGUAUAACAAAGGCCUUGGUGGUUUUCAGCUGCAAUCCUAAGCCUCCUCUCGUUAAAUGUCUUAAUAGAUUGGCCUCGGCCGGGCGCGCGGUGGCUCAAGCCUGUCAUCCCAGCACUUUGGGAGGCCGAGACAGGCGGAUCACGAGGUCAGGAGAUCGAGUCCACCCUGGCUAACACGGUGAAACCCCGUCUCUACUAAAAAAUACAAAAAAAACUAGCCGGGCGAGGUGGCGGGCGCCUGUAGUCCCAGCUACUCGGGAGGCUGAGGCAGGAGAAUGGCGUAAACCCGGGAGGCGGAGCUUGCAGUGAGCUGAGAUCCAGCCACUGCACUCCAGCCUGGGCGACAGAGCUAGACUCCGUCUCACAAAAAAAAAAAAAAAAAAAA
This is a long non-coding RNA of Macaca fascicularis (crab-eating macaque), 1590 nucleotides long. NCBI's taxonomy places the organism in Eukaryota, Metazoa, Chordata, Mammalia, Primates, Cercopithecidae. The record is from Ensembl.